Molecule: ribosomal RNA, 439 nt
Filed under: uncultured bacterium
Lineage: Bacteria
Description: bacterial SSU rRNA
Rfam family: Bacterial small subunit ribosomal RNA
Source: RNAcentral
AACGCGAAGAACCUUACCUGGGUUUGACAUCCCCGGACCGCCCUAGAGAUAGGGUUUCCCCUUCGGGGGCCGGGAGACAGGUGCUGCAUGGCUGUCGUCAGCUCGUAUCGUGAGAUGUCGGGUUAAGUCCCUUAACGAGCGCAACCCUUAUCCCUAGUUGCCAUCAUUUAGUUGGGCACUCUAUGGAGACCGCCGGUGUUAAACCGGAGGAAGGUGGGGAUGACGUCAAGUCCUCAUGGCCCUUAUGUCCAGGGCUACACACGUGCUACAAUGGCCGAUACAGAGGGUUGCUAACCCGCGAGGGGGAGCUAAUCUCAGAAAGUCGGUCUCAGUUCGGAUUGAAGUCUGCAACUCGACUUCAUGAAGCUGGAAUCGCUAGUAAUCGCGGAUCAGCACGCCGCGGUGAAUACGUUCCCGGGCCUUGUACACACCGUGUCGA